UUUAAACCAAUCAAUGACAGGACAGCUGUUCUUUGUUUCCAUGAGCUCAGCAGAAGAGGAAAUGGUUUGCCUGUGCGGUGGGGGAGGAGGAGAGGGUAGGGUUUUAGGUUAGUGCCCUGGCUGUGAGGAAGUGGAACUUGUUACCCAAGGACUUCCCUUUUAGGCAGAAUGUCUGCUUUCCUACCAGGAAGAGUGGGCUUGGCCCUCUGCUGAGGCUCUCAGAGGUUCUCCCAGCCUUGGGAUCGCUGAGUAAAACCAGUCAGCACCAUGUCACCCUAUGGAGACUGGCCUCCAUCCCUGGGAUUUGCUGGUAGAAGAAAGGGAAUCAGCGCUGACUGAGCUCCUACUAUGUGCCCUUCCUGGGCCUGGCACUGGAAUCACAGGAUGAAUGAAUAAGGCAUAUUUCCUGCCCUGAGGAGGCGUCUAUAGGGGAAGUCGGAAUUAAGGCACCUCCAGAAUUCUGAGGUCAAGGGAAUGUCAACAGAGCUGUGAACAAAAUGCCCAAAGCCAUGAAAAUCUAGAGAGAGAGACUUGAAGGGGAGGAAUGGGGUAGGAGCUGGUGCCGAGGAUGAGAGGGGAGAAUUCACCUGGUGGAGAACUGACAGGUGGGGGCUGUUUUCAAAGUAUUUUCACAAACGUUUAUUCUCCUGACUCUCACAAUAAAUGAAGCCAGCCAGAAAGUAUUCUCCCCAUUUCAGUGAUAAGGAAAUGGAGGCUCAGAAGGGUGGAAUGGCCCAGGGCAGGGCAAAGCUGGGGUGGAAGCAUCGGUCUUGUGCUUCCACACUCAUUGCACUUUCUUCCAGGCCAGGCUGAGGUCAGGAUGGUGGAGGAGGUGGUGGAGGUGAUGAGGUACCAGAGCAACCUCGAAGAAAGCUGAGAGGCAGGAGACCGCCAAAGGCAAACUUGGAACACCUGGUGACUCCGACUAACUCCAUGUGAUGUCCUUGAGGACUUUUAUGAUACUGCUACCACUGCUAAUAGUAAUAAAAGUCACUAUUUAAUGUGUUUACUAUGAGCUGGGUGUGCAAAUAUUGUGGAAAGAGUGAACAUAUGUGCAGAAUGCUUAAUAAACGUGAUUUCCUUUUAUCUUCAAAAGAACAA
Molecule: long non-coding RNA, 1101 nt
Organism: Pan troglodytes (chimpanzee)
Lineage: Eukaryota; Metazoa; Chordata; Mammalia; Primates; Hominidae
Exons: 2
Source: RefSeq, a predicted model, not a curated record